AACGAACGCUGGCGGCAGGCCUAACACAUGCAAGUCGAACGAUAUAGUGGCAGACGGGUGAGUAACGCGUGGGAACGUACCUUUCACUACGGAAUAGCUCUGGGAAACUGGUGGUAAUACCGUAUACGCCCUUCGGGGGAAAGAUUUAUCGGUGAAAGAUCGGCCCGCGUUAGAUUAGGUAGUUGGUGGGGUAAUGGCCUACCAAGCCUACGAUCUAUAGCUGGUCUGAGAGGAUGAUCAGCCACACUGGGACUGAGACACGGCCCAGACUCCUACGGGAGGCAGCAGUGGGGAAUCUUGCACAAUGGGCGAAAGCCUGAUGCAGCCAUGCCGCGUGAAUGAUGAAGGCCUUAGGGUUGUAAAAUUCUUUCGCUAGGGAUGAUAAUGACAGUACCUAGUAAAGAAGCCCCGGCUAACUUCGUGCCAGCAGCCGCG
This 435-nucleotide ribosomal RNA is filed under the name uncultured bacterium. Its description in RNAcentral is "bacterial SSU rRNA". It matches the Rfam family "Bacterial small subunit ribosomal RNA", at positions 29 to 519 of the family's 1533-position model. The record is from RNAcentral.